This 336-nucleotide unclassified non-coding RNA is filed under the name fungal sp. RNAcentral describes it as "partial internal transcribed spacer region". The stretch from base 1 to 46 matches the Rfam family "Eukaryotic small subunit ribosomal RNA", at positions 1786 to 1831 of the family's 1831-position model. Lineage: Eukaryota; Fungi. The record is from RNAcentral.
AAGUCGUAACAAGGUUGCCGUAGGUGAACCUGCGGCAGGAUCAUUAACGAUUUAAAAACAAACUGUCCUUUUUGUUGGGCUGCUUCUCGAAGGAGAAAUUUUUCUCCGUUUCGAGCGAGCUAAAAACAGUAAAUGGUUUCCAAAACUAAAUCGACCUGCUUGAUAAGGGUCGCAGAAUUUACGAUCGAUUGCCGGCCGACAGGCGUACGCGAGAUGAAUAACCGGCGUCUUGCGAGAAGCCUUGGCUGACUCGUCGUCUGGUUUCCAAAAUUAAAUCGACCUAUUAUUAAGGGUCGCUUAAAAAAACUUGCCGAUCGGUGGAUCACUCGGCUGGUG